UGGGGAAUAUUGCACAAUGGGCGCAAGCCUGAUGCAGCCAUGCCGCGUGUAUGAAGAAGGCCUUCGGGUUGUAAAGUACUUUCAGCGGGGAGGAAGGGAGUGAGGUUAAUAACCUCAUUCAUUGACGUUACCCGCAGAAGAAGCACCGGCUAACUCCGUGCCAGCAGCCGCGGUAAUACGGAGGGUGCAAGCGUUAACCGGAAUUACUGGGCGUAAAGCGCACGCAGGCGGUCUGUCAAGUCGGAUGUGAAAUCCCCGGGCUCAACCUGGGAACUGCAUUCGAAACUGGCAGGCUGGAGUCUUGUAGAGGGGGGUAGAAUUCCAGGUGUAGCGGUGAAAUGCGUAGAGAUCUGGAGGAAUACCGGUGGCGAAGGCGGCCCCCUGGACAAAGACUGACGCUCAGGUGCGAAAGCGUGGGGAGCAAACAGG
This 429-nucleotide ribosomal RNA is filed under the name Enterobacter sp. RNAcentral describes it as "bacterial SSU rRNA". It matches the Rfam family "Bacterial small subunit ribosomal RNA", at positions 355 to 776 of the family's 1533-position model. Lineage: Bacteria; Pseudomonadati; Pseudomonadota; Gammaproteobacteria; Enterobacterales; Enterobacteriaceae. The record is from RNAcentral.